GGAUAGUUCAGUCGGUAGAGGCUGAGACUCUUAAGCUCAGGGUUGUGGGUUCGAGCCCCGUGUUAGGCA
Molecule: non-coding RNA, 69 nt
Organism: Podarcis lilfordi (Lilford's wall lizard)
Lineage: Eukaryota; Metazoa; Chordata; Lepidosauria; Squamata; Lacertidae
Source: the annotation of a GenBank genome assembly